GUCAGGAUGGUGUUGUGGUUUGAACAUUGGACUACAACUCUGGAGACCAGGGUUUGAUUCCCCGCUUGGCCA
Molecule: non-coding RNA, 72 nt
Organism: Phrynosoma platyrhinos (Desert horned lizard)
Lineage: Eukaryota; Metazoa; Chordata; Lepidosauria; Squamata; Phrynosomatidae
Source: the annotation of a GenBank genome assembly